AGGUGCUGCAGCAAUUCACCAGAGGACGGAAGUGGCACAUCUGGGACUGAGAACUGGCAAGGCCAGAGGGCAGAAGCAAGUCACAAAAGCCAGUGGCCCAAACUCACAUCAUCCACCUCCAUUGCACUGAGCUAAAACCAUGCCCAGGAACUGGCGUCCCAAAUCUAAACAGUGAGGCUUGAGAAGCGGGCUGGAUUCCACGGUGGGCAAGUGUGCAGAGGACAUAAGCCGAGAAGAGGCCCUUGGAGAGGACAGAAAUAACAACAUCGUAGGCAGACAGUUGUGGGUUCUGCCAGUCACGCUUUCGCACAAGUCACAGCACUCAGCCUCAGUAAGCGGAGGAAAAUAACAGAAAACAAAGUUGGAAAGCAUGGCUGAGGAGAGGGAGAUAAACCGAGAUAAAUCGUGAAGAGUGGUUGAAAUAAGCUACCGACAGGCUUGACCCGCAGCAGGUGCCUGACUCUGCUGGUUCCCAGUCCAGCCCCAGCUCAGGUGCACAAGGCGUCCGGGGGACUGCCAGCACUGCACAGCCCUUUCCAUACCUCCUGGAUGGUGACCUUUACCUCCGUUCCACCGUGGCCACCCAUACCCUGGGCCUUGUCAUCUCUCGAAGGUUCCAACUGCAUUCUGAAAU
This 634-nucleotide long non-coding RNA is filed under the name Pan troglodytes (chimpanzee). RNAcentral describes it as "long non-coding RNA NONPTRT009816". The record is from RNAcentral. Lineage: Eukaryota; Metazoa; Chordata; Mammalia; Primates; Hominidae.